GUCCACGCUGUAAACGAUGACGACUAGGUGUGGGGGGUUCGAGUCCCUCCGUGCCGCAGCUAACGCAUUAAGUCGUCCGCCUGGGGAGGUACGGCCGCAAGGUUGAAACUCAAAGGAAUUGACGGGGGCCCGGCACAAGCGGUGGAGCAUGUGGUUCAAUUCGAUGCAGAGCGAAGAACCUUACCUGGGCUUGACAUGCAGGAAGUAGAAACCGGAAACGGCGACGACCUGUUAAGUCAGGAACCUGCACAGGUGGUGCAUGGCUGUCGU
This 270-nucleotide ribosomal RNA is filed under the name uncultured bacterium. RNAcentral's name for it is "partial 16S ribosomal RNA". It matches the Rfam family "Bacterial small subunit ribosomal RNA", at positions 793 to 1055 of the family's 1533-position model. The record is from RNAcentral.